RNAcentral lists this ribosomal RNA (480 nucleotides) under uncultured bacterium. Its description in RNAcentral is "bacterial SSU rRNA". It matches the Rfam family "Bacterial small subunit ribosomal RNA", at positions 958 to 1438 of the family's 1533-position model. The record is from RNAcentral.
AACGCGAAGAACCUUACCAGCUCUUGACAUCCAGAGAACUUUCCAGAGAUGGAUUGGUGCCUUCGGGAACUCUGAGACAGGUGCUGCAUGGCUGUCGUCAGCUCGUGUUGUGAAAUGUUGGGUUAAGUCCCGCAACGAGCGCAACCCUUAUCCUUUGUUGCCAGCGGUUCGGCCGGGAACUCAAAGGAGACUGCCAGUGAUAAACUGGAGGAAGGUGGGGAUGACGUCAAGUCAUCAUGGCCCUUAAGAGUAGGGCUACCCCCGUGCUACAAUGGCGCAUACAAAGAGAAGCGACCUCGCGAGAGCAAGCGGACCUCAUAAACUGCGUCGUAGUCCGGAUUGGAGUCUGCAACUCGACUCCAUGAAGUCGGAAUCGCUAGUAAUCGUAGAUCAGAAUGCUACGGUGAAUACGUUCCCGGGCCUUGUACACACCGCCCGUCACACCAUGGGAGUGGGUAGCAAAAGAAGUAGGUAGCUUAA